This 214-nucleotide ribosomal RNA is filed under the name Phocoenobacter skyensis. RNAcentral's name for it is "partial 16S ribosomal RNA". It matches the Rfam family "Bacterial small subunit ribosomal RNA", at positions 1320 to 1533 of the family's 1533-position model. Lineage: Bacteria; Pseudomonadati; Pseudomonadota; Gammaproteobacteria; Pasteurellales; Pasteurellaceae. The record is from RNAcentral.
AUGAAGUCGGAAUCGCUAGUAAUCGCGAAUCAGAAUGUCGCGGUGAAUACGUUCCCGGGCCUUGUACACACCGCCCGUCACACCAUGGGAGUGGGUUGUACCAGAAGUAGAUAGCUUAACCUUCGGGAGGGCGUUUACCACGGUAUGAUUCAUGACUGGGGUGAAGUCGUAACAAGGUAACCGUAGGGGAACCUGCGGUUGGAUCACCUCCUUA